UCUCCGUUGGUGAACCAGCGGAGGGAUCAUUACAAGAGUUGCAAAACUCCCUAAACACUUGUGAACCUACCCGUACUGUUGCUUCGGCGGGCGGCCCCUGGGAGGGGCCGUAGCCCUCGCGGGCGCCCGCCGGAGGACCAAAACGCUAUGUUUUAUAACGUCUCUCUGAGCAAAACUAAAUAAGUCAAAACUUUCAACAACGGAUCUCUUGGUUCUGGCAUCGAUGAAGAACGCAGC
This 237-nucleotide unclassified non-coding RNA is filed under the name uncultured fungus. RNAcentral's name for it is "sequence contains ITS1, 5.8S rRNA gene". The stretch from base 189 to 237 matches the Rfam family "5.8S ribosomal RNA", at positions 1 to 49 of the family's 154-position model. The record is from RNAcentral. Lineage: Eukaryota; Fungi.